Molecule: ribosomal RNA, 348 nt
Filed under: uncultured bacterium
Lineage: Bacteria
Description: bacterial SSU rRNA
Rfam family: Bacterial small subunit ribosomal RNA
Source: RNAcentral
GGGUUAGCAAUAGUCCCAAAAGUGGCGAACGGGUGAGUAACACGUAGGUAACCUGCCGCGCAGAGGGGGAUAACGACUGGAAACGGUCGCUAAUACCGCAUGGUACUGUGAAGAGGGGACUCUUGACAGUUAAAACCUUGGUGCUGCGCGAGGGGCCUGCGUCCGAUUAGUUAGUUGGUGAGGUAACGGCUCACCAAGACGAUGAUCGGUAGCUGGUCUGAGAGGAUGAUCAGUCACACGGGAACUGAGACACGGUCCCGACUCCUACGGGGGGCAGCAGUGAGGAAUAUUGCACAAUGGACGCAAGUCUGAUGCAGCAACGCCGCGUGGAGGAUGAAGGUCUUUGGA